UUUGCCCCAGCAGUGCUGUAGCAGCGCCACCAGCUCUGCAGUCUACUACAUGUAGGUCUAUGUGCUGGGCUAGAAUGAAAAUGUACACACAAUGGAGGACCUCCAAGAAUAGAUUGGGAAAUACCUAUUCAAUCUGAUCAAUGAUUAGUAGGAAAAAUGACGAGAGAUUAAUUCAUUUUGCCCAGUAAUCGGUGUCCUCUUCUCAAAAGCAGAACAGACUGUUGCAAACUGCAGGAGCGCCAGGACCUGCGUCCUCCGCUCCAGCAGGGGGCGACAGUGCAAAAUUUAUCAUGCCGUGCACGCACAAAGACUAUAUAAUGACGAGAUGCUCAUGUCUCCGCCCUAACAAUUGGGUCAAAAAUAAACUUAGGUCAAAAAUAAGCACAUAGAAACGCAUUGAGCUUGUUUAGGACAGAUUUAGGCGAGAGUAAAACAUCUUGCUUCGCCUCAGUGCUCUUGAUAUUUUCGACUUUGUUUACGUUGGUAGCUAUCUAGCAAAAUGUCCUUCUCUAAAAAUGUCUAAAAUAGAGUUAUUGAGAAUGUUUCUAAACCAGAGAUUGAUAGCGGCAGCUGAGGAGAUAUUUGGUGUCGUUGAAGAAACGAUAGCAGAGUACCAGGAAGAGGUUUCUCGCACAAAGGAGGAGAACAGCCGUCUACGAAUAAUGCUGGAAAUCCGUACUAAGCCAGAGAUCAAGUUACAUAGACGAGAAGACCUCCAGCAGCUCACUGUCAAAGUGUUGUCAUGUUUGUGGUAAAUAUUUUGCUUGGGAUGCUUUUCUGAAAAGGCAUUUGAGGAGUCACACUGGGGAGAAGCCGUUUCGCUGUCACCAUUGUGGCAAAGGAUUCAGUCAGAGUGGAAACCUGGCUGUGCAUAUGAAGAGCCACUCUGGAGAGAAACCACAUCGCUGCCCUGUUUGUGACAAAUGUUUCAGCAGAAGCCCUGAUCUGACAGUGCACAUGAGGACUCAUACAGGGGUGAAACCAUAUAAGUGCCAGUAUUGUGGCCAAGGAUUCAAGCAGAAUUAUAACCUGAAACUGCACAUGAAGAUCCACAUGGGAAAAACCAUAUCAUUGCCAUCUUUGUGACAUGUAUUUCAGCACUAUCACCCAGUCAACCUGGCAUGAGAUUUCACAUGGUAGAGAAAGGCGUCACUGCCAUGACUGACAGAGGCUUUGCAUAGACUGGAAGUUUGGCAAGGCAUAAUGACAAUACACAAAAUACUUUAGUGUAGAAAACACUGACAGUAGACCUUGUUUGUGAUACAUGUUUCACUAAGCAGCUUUAUUGAGGAAAGUUUUUACUCGCAGUGACUGUUGAUAUGUGGUUGUUUUACCUGUUUUGAAUGCACUGACUGUAAGUUGCUCUGGGUAAGACAUAAUUCAAUUAUGUUUCAUUUUCUCUGCAUUGUUGGGAAGCAUUUCACUGUUAGUCUACACCUGUUGCUUAUGAAGCGUGUCACAAAUGAAAAUAGUUUGGAUUUGAUUGCACCUAAACGCUUCAAGUGAAUGAACUCCCCUGGAAGGUAUGAGAAGAACAUUCACAAGAGGGAGAAAACAUAAUGACCUGAUGAAAAACCUGAUGACAACAUGGCAGUCAUACCCUGUGUUGGGAGAGACUUUCAGACAAUACAAGAAGUACAUUAAAACAUCUCAUUCCCUA
Molecule: long non-coding RNA, 1660 nt
Organism: Coregonus clupeaformis (lake whitefish)
Lineage: Eukaryota; Metazoa; Chordata; Actinopteri; Salmoniformes; Salmonidae
Exons: 2
Source: RefSeq, a predicted model, not a curated record